UAUUCCUAUCAGCUCUCAGAAUAUUUAAUAUUACAGAUUAGAUUUAUUCUGUAAUGAAGAUCGUGAUCACAGACUGAAGGACAGAAAGAGAGACGGGGGACAAACUGAUGGAGGAGUGGACGGACGGCUGUAGAGAUGGACAGAUGGAUAACGGAAGAUAGAUGGGUAGAGAUGGAUAGAGAUUUUGGAUGGGUGGAUGGGCCUGUGGCAGGAAUAAUUAUGCAGAUGGAUGACUGAGAGUUAAAGAGGUAUUUGAUUGGUGGUUGGGUGGUAGGUAGACUGUUUGGUAGCUGUGUGUUUUUUGUACUUGAUGGGUAGAUUUUAAGGUGGUAGGUAGGGUUUUUAUGGUUGUUGGAAGGUUGGUAGAUUUUUUUUUUGUUGUAAAAUAGGUGUUUAGGUGUUUGGUAGGUAGAUUGUUUGGUGAGCUGGUAGAUUGGUAUGUUGGUAGGUAGAUGUUUAGGUGUUUGGUAGUUAGGUUGUUAGGAUUUUUAGGUGUUUGGUAGGUAGAUUGGUGGGUUGGUAGGUAGUUUUUUAGGUGUUUGGUAGUUAGGUUUGUGGGUUUGUGCGUUGGUUUGUAGGUGUUUGGUAGGUAAAUUGUUUAGUGAGCUGGUAGAUUGGUAUGUUGGUAGGUAGAUGUUUAGGUUUUUGGUAGUUAGGUUGUUAGGAUUGUAGUUGUUUGGUAGGUAGAUUGUUAGGUUUGUAGGUGUUUGGUAGUUUGGUAGUCACGUUGUUAGGUUUGUAGGUAGAUUAGUGGAUUUUUAGGUGGUUAUUAGUUGGGUUGUUUGGUUUGUAGGUGUUUGGUAGUUGGGUUGUUGGGUUUGUAGGUGUUUGGUAGUUGGGUUGUUUGGUGUGUAGGUGUUUUGUGGUGGGUAGUUGGGUUGUUUGGUUUGUAGGUGUUUGGUAGUUAGGUUGUUGGGUUUGUAGGUGUUUGGUAGUUGGGUUGUUAGGUUUGUAGGUGUUUGGUAGUUGGGUUGUUGGGUUUGUAGGUGUUUGGUAGUUGGGUUGUUGGGUUUGUGGGUGUUUGGUAGUUGGGUUGUUGGGUUUGUGGGUGUUUGGUAGUUGGGUUGUUUGGUUUGUGGGUGUUUGGUAGUUGGGUUGUUUGGUUUGUAGGUGUUUGGUAGUUGGGUUGUUGGGUAAGCUGGUAGAUUGAUGCUGUAACAGAUUGUAUAAUCUGUGCUCUGCAGUAAAACUCGUUGGUAAUCCGGCUGCAGUUUUUCCUCUCUGUGAGGAUUAAUUGCUGGUUUGAUCAUUUCCUCUCUACACAUUUGUGGAAUAGCUCUGUAGAGCGCGCUGUGUGUUUAAGGUCCCGCGGUGUGGUUGCCGUGGCUCGUUGCUGUAGAGAGGUGAGGGGUGAUUAGUGUGUAGCGCUGCAGGGACCGAGCCGUCCCCUACUUCCUGUUAUACGGAGCUAACACUCUGCUCAUGUGUGAGACAGCUGUUCCUCUCUCUCUCUCUCUCUCUCUGUCUCUCUCUCUCUCUCUCUCUCUCUUUCUCUCUCUCUCUCUCUCUCUCUCUCUCUUUCUCUCUCUCUCUCUCUCUCUCUCUCUCUGUCUCUCUCUCUUUCUCUCCCUCUCUCUCUCUCUCUCUCUCUCUUUCUCUCUCUCUCUCUCUCUCUCUGUGUCUCUCUCUCUCUCUCUGUCUCUCUCUCUUUCUCUCUCUCUCUCUCUCUCUCUUUCUCUCUCUCUCUAUUGUAAUCAGGAUUUAAUAAUUCCUGGAACGGCUUUCACUUUCUAAACUCUGUUCUUCCUCUGCAGUUUUGCUACAAUUCAUCUUUGUUUUCAUGUGAAGGAAACAUUUAAAAUGAAAUAAAUCUUCUUACCGCAACACACACACACACACACACACACACACACACACAUCUGCAUUCUGCAUGGCCAGAUCAAAGAGCGUCGUCAGAAACUUUUACAUUUCAUAAAUCUUAGGCUCAUAUAAAAUUAUUUUGUUGACAGGAAAAAAAACACUUUCAAGUUUAUUUUUAAAACAUUCUCACACAAAUAUGAGAUAAACAUAUGAGUAAAAUAGCACUACUGAGGAAAAUGUAUGAGUAGAAUAGCACUACUAAAUUUAAUUUAUAAGUAGAGUAGCACUACUGAGGUAAAUAUAUGAGUAGAAUAGUAUUGCUGAGGUUAACGUAUGAGUAGAAUAGCAGUGCUGAGGUAAAUGUAUAAGUAGAUUGGCACUACUGAGGUAAAUGUAUACAUAUAAUAGCUCUAUUUAGGUACAUUUAUGAGUAGAAUAGCACUGCUGAGGUAAAUGUAUGAGUUUACUAUGGGCUUACUUAUUUACUGUUGUGUAUUUUAUGUUUUCUGCUUUUUUUUGA
Molecule: long non-coding RNA, 2320 nt
Organism: Astyanax mexicanus (Mexican tetra)
Lineage: Eukaryota; Metazoa; Chordata; Actinopteri; Characiformes; Acestrorhamphidae
Exons: 3
Source: RefSeq, a predicted model, not a curated record